GCGAGUUAAAUGCUGGCAUUUAAUGAGUCUUCUAUCGCACCGUUGCAAUGCAAUUGAUGUUCGAUAUCCAAGUAAAGGAAAAGAUCUUAGAAAAGUGAGUUUUUAUGAUUCGAUGAAGAAUCUAACUUAUUUAAAUGUUCCUAUUAUUCUACAGGUUAAUUGAAUAUAAAUUAUUGACAUUUAAUAAACUUUUAUUUGCUCGCAAUUCUACAAUUUGUAUUAAAAUUAUAUAUUAUUCAUUUAUUCUCAUUUUGCAUUUAAAUGACUAGUUUUUAUCAUUAUUUAAUAUGAUGUUGGUUCUAUCUUUUUACGUACGCUGUCGUAUUUAUGUCACACGAGCAUGUUUAUGCUAAGUAAGCAUAUUUAUGUUAUUCGUCACACCGAAAAGUGAACAAGUAUCCAAAAUAAGAAAAAAAAUUAGUUAAUAAUUUUAAUUUAGAUUUAAAAUUAAUAAAAAUAAAAAUUCAUUGAAAUUUCAAUAAUUUAUAUAUAAUUAAUUUUAUUCUAUAUUUCUUUGAAAGGGGGCAUAACCGAUAGGAACUUUAAAAUAACUUUCGUAUAUAACUUCAUUUUUUUUAUUUUGGGGACCCCCCUUUAGUUUUCCCUUUUUCAAUUGUAUUCUUUUCACAACAUUUAUAUUGGUUUUGAGUAUAGUUGAAAUUUAAGUCACCUUCAAUUAUAGAAAGUGAUUAACCCUUUCAUUUAAUUCUACAAAUAAUUCAAUGCAUUUUGAGAGAAGAAAAUCUUAAUACAUUUAGUCUCAACCAAAAAUGAUGACCAUACACAAAAAUUGUGUUUUCUUAAAUCUUAGCCUCCACUCUAUUUUCUACCCCAUGUGCAGACACAAUUGGGAUGUGUUUAGUACUCAACGUUAGCCUUCGGCUCGCGGCGGCCGGUGGAGCGCCACUUUUUCCGACGCCAAUCUCCGGCCCCGCCUCGGCUGAUGAUGAGACGAAAGCGCUAACGACGAUCAUUAUCGCUACACUCAUCACCAGCAUCCUCGCCAUCACGCGAUCGAGAGAAAUGUACCAACGAUUUCUCUCUUCAAAAUUUGCUAAAAUUAAAUUUUGGUUAAAUUUCUGUUUUGG
This 1088-nucleotide long non-coding RNA is filed under the name Salvia miltiorrhiza (redroot sage). RNAcentral's name for it is "long non-coding RNA (SMIL_LNC000863)". Lineage: Eukaryota; Viridiplantae; Streptophyta; Magnoliopsida; Lamiales; Lamiaceae. The record is from RNAcentral.